Long non-coding RNA from Hippocampus zosterae (dwarf seahorse), 297 nucleotides. RefSeq lists it as uncharacterized. The transcript is spliced from 2 exons. The record is from RefSeq and is a predicted model, not a curated record. Lineage: Eukaryota; Metazoa; Chordata; Actinopteri; Syngnathiformes; Syngnathidae.
CUCCCAAGUGUAAUGGAUUCAUAUCACAGUGAGCAGAUUGCCAACGUGGAGAUGAAAGCCAGCGUGUGGUUUGUCUGCGCGCACCGCAUGGAUGCGGCUUACGGCUUUCUGCGUUAAGGAUGAACCUGAAAUCUUUUUGAUCAAAUUUGGAAUCGUUCAGGGCGGCCCGGUGCUCCAGCGGUUGGCGCGUCGACCUCGCAGUGCAGAGGUACCGGGUGCGUAUGUUUUCUCCAGAUACUCCGGUUUCCACUCACAUUCCAAAAACAUGUGUGACAGGCUGAUUGAACACUCUAAAUU